CCUGCUGCUUCAGACCCUUCCCCAGCUCUGUUUUCUUCUCUGGAUUCACUCCAGCACCUCAAUGUCCUUCUUGAAAUGAGUGGCGCAGACACCGUACUUGCUCCUUCAGAUACCAGAACCUUCUCUCCUCCAAGCUGAACAGCCCCAACUUUCUCAACCUGACUUCACAGAGAAGGCGUUCCUGAUGAAAUUGGUGGCCUCCUCUGGACUUGCUCCAGCAGUUCCAUGUCCUUCUCCUGUUGGGCACCCCAGAGCUGGAUGCAGCACUGCAGAGUGGAAGCACGAAGAAGCUGCAGGUGUGAUGCUGAAUGGGGAUGGAAGGUUAAUUAAAAAUGUCCACAGAAAAGCCAGGAGUACUCAUUGGCCUCUUCACAUCAGUCAUCAUGGGUGCGAUCAGAUCCCAGGUCUCUACACUGAAAUGUGGAAGUUCAUUUAAGGACCAUCUCCACAAACUGGACAGCUAUAGAUACCUUCCUCAGUUUCAAGGGGAAAAAAAGAAUCACCAUGAGAGUAGUUAGCCAUGGGAGCCAGGAAAGAGGUGGACUUUUCUUGAUGAAAGUAUUCAAGACACAGUUUGACAGAAAAUGGAGAUCUAAUCUAGGGCACUGCUUUCCAUGGAAGUUUGAAGUCCCCUUUGAAUCUGGACCUUUAUGUAAUUUUUAUGGUCAUGUCUGGUUUCUGCAGAAGAAAUACAGGGAAAAAUAAGUAGUCUGAUUAUAAACAUGUUGUACAUUUCAUGUGGUGACUUUAAUAAACGCUUGUACUUUGCUCAUCUCUUCAGCUUAAACUUUAUUUCACUUUUUCUUGCAUCUCUGCCUGUGCAGUCCCCUCUGAACUAAAGAUCACAGAAGUUGCUGUGGAGAGAGAGGUUUGAUUCCCCAAAACACUGAAAUUUUUAUUCUGAAUUAUUUGCUCAUAAUGUUCAAGCUUUGGCUUCUGUCAUUAGCUCUUAACCUCUGUUUAAGGGUCAGUGGAAAAACACUUUUCCUUAAUGAUAAAACUUUGUUGUAAUUUCUGGUAUUUGCAGUUACUCACCAGGUUGUGCCUUACAGAGUGAGAUAUGAUAACUUCUUCACAGCUCCCACUUGAAUAAUUUCCACUUUGUUGCUCUGUUGUUUUGGUACACCCGUCUCUGCUUUUUGGAAAGCUUUUGUGCUGCCUCACAGAAAGG
Molecule: long non-coding RNA, 1171 nt
Organism: Corvus hawaiiensis (hawaiian crow)
Lineage: Eukaryota; Metazoa; Chordata; Aves; Passeriformes; Corvidae
Exons: 3
Source: RefSeq, a predicted model, not a curated record